This 466-nucleotide unclassified non-coding RNA is filed under the name Hevea brasiliensis (rubber tree). Lineage: Eukaryota; Viridiplantae; Streptophyta; Magnoliopsida; Malpighiales; Euphorbiaceae. The record is from RNAcentral.
GGCUUUGCAGGAUCAGUAUAACCUGCCAUAGAAAAUAAAUAGUGUUCAUAUGCAGAAGUCAAAAGGUAAACAUGCCAUUUAGAAUCUUGAAAUAAAAUUCAAUUGAAACUUGUUUCAAGUUCAAUUAACCAAAUGUUCAUAUUUAAACAUUUCAUGAUAAAGUUAGCAAAAAAACCAAUAAUGAGCGAGGUAUGCAUAUAGAAGAAAAACAAAGUCAAAUAAAAGCCAUAAAUUUUGUUAAAAUAUAACAAAUAGGAAACAAAACCCUAUAACAAGAGAGCAGAAGUUACCCAAUCAAAAGCUUUUAAAUUGAUUCCAAUUAUAACAAACCAGUUGAAUUUUAAAUCCAUUCCAUUUAUAGCAAGCAAGGUUAUGGUGUUUAAAAUUAUUUGUCAAUCAAAUAAUCAUGAAUCAAAACAAGAAAAGAUGCUUUAGAUACUGACCCAAUAAGAAUGGUAAAGGACUC